This 397-nucleotide ribosomal RNA is filed under the name uncultured bacterium. RNAcentral describes it as "partial 16S ribosomal RNA". It matches the Rfam family "Bacterial small subunit ribosomal RNA", at positions 523 to 918 of the family's 1533-position model. The record is from RNAcentral.
AUACGUAGGUGGCAAGCGUUGUCCGGAAUUACUGGGUGUAAAGGGCGUGUAGGCGGGAAGGCAAGUCAGAUGUGAAAGCCCAUGGCUUAACUGUGGAACUGCAUCUGAAACUGUUUUUCUUGAGUACUGGAGAGGAAAGUGGAAUUCCUAGUGUAGCGGUGAGAUGCGUAGAGAUUAGGAGGAACACCAGUGGCGAAGGCGGCUUUCUGGACAGUAACUGACGCUGAGGCGCGAAAGCGUGGGAAGCAAACAGGGUUAGAUACCCUGGUAGUCCACGCUGUAAACGAUGGAUACUAGGUGUGGGAGGUAUCGACCCCUUCCGUGCCGGAGUUAACACAAUAAGUAUCCCACCUGGGGAGUACGGCCGCAAGGUUGAAACUCAAAUGAAUUGGCGGGG